AGAGUUUGAUCAUGGCUCAGAUUGAACGCUGGCGGCAGGCUUAACACAUGCAAGUCGAGCGGAGAUGAGGUGCUUGCACUUAUCUUAGCGGCGGACGGGUGAGUAAUGCUUAGGAAUCUGCCUAUUAGUGGGGGACAACAUUCCGAAAGGAAUGCUAAUACCGCAUACGUCCUACGGGAGAAAGCAGGGGAUCUUCGGACCUUGCGCUAAUAGAUGAGCCUAAGUCGGAUUAGCUAGUUGGUGGGGUAAAGGCCUACCAAGGCGACGAUCUGUAGCGGGUCUGAGAGGAUGAUCCGCCACACUGGGACUGAGACACGGCCCAGACUCCUACGGGAGGCAGCAGUGGGGAAUAUUGGACAAUGGGGGGAACCCUGAUCCAGCCAUGCCGCGUGUGUGAAGAAGGCCUUAUGGUUGUAAAGCACUUUAAGCGAGGAGGAGGCUACUGAGACUAAUACUCUUGGAUAGUGGACGUUACUCGCAGAAUAAGCACCGGCUAACUCUGUGCCAGCAGCCGCGGUAAUACAGAGGGUGCGAGCGUUAAUCGGAUUUACUGGGCGUAAAGCGUGCGUAGGCGGCUUUUUAAGUCGGAUGUGAAAUCCCCGAGCUUAACUUGGGAAUUGCAUUCGAUACUGGGAAGCUAGAGUAUGGGAGAGGAUGGUAGAAUUCCAGGUGUAGCGGUGAAAUGCGUAGAGAUCUGGAGGAAUACCGAUGGCGAAGGCAGCCAUCUGGCCUAAUACUGACGCUGAGGUACGAAAGCAUGGGGAGCAAACAGGAUUAGAUACCCUGGUAGUCCAUGCCGUAAACGAUGUCUACUAGCCGUUGGGGCCUUUGAGGCUUUAGUGGCGCAGCUAACGCGAUAAGUAGACCGCCUGGGGAGUACGGUCGCAAGACUAAAACUCAAAUGAAUUGACGG
RNAcentral lists this ribosomal RNA (913 nucleotides) under uncultured bacterium. RNAcentral's name for it is "bacterial SSU rRNA". It matches the Rfam family "Bacterial small subunit ribosomal RNA", at positions 8 to 916 of the family's 1533-position model. The record is from RNAcentral.